GGCGAAGUCAUUGAUCCUAUGCUGCCUAGAAAAGCCCAGCAGCGAGUUGACAUGGUGCCCGUACCCCAAACCAACACAGGUGGACAGGUAGAGCAUACCAAGGCGAGUGGGAUAACUAUGGUUAAGGAACUCGGCAAAUUGCCUCCGUAACUUCGGGAGAAGGAGGACCCCAGUAGCGUGAUGAGACUUGCUCUCUGAGCGUGAAGGGGUGGCACAAAAUUGAGGGAAGCGACUGUUUACCAAAAACACAGCAGCGUGCUAAGCCGUAAGGCGCUGUAUACGCUGUGACUCCUGCCCGGUGCUGGAAGGUUACGGGGAUGGGUUAGUCCUUCGGGACGAAGCUCUGAACCUAAGCCCCAGUAAACGGCGGCCGUAACUAUAACGGUCCUAAGGUAGCGAAAUUCCUUGUCGGGUAAGUUCCGACCUGCACGAAUGGAGUAACGACUUCCCUACUGUCUCAACCAUAGACCCAGCGAAAUUGAAGUACGAGUAUAUGCUCGUUAGCUGCAGAAGGACGGAAAGACCCCGUGGACCUUUACUAUAACUUGAUGUUGUGUUUUGUCAUAUGUUGUGUAGGAUAGGUGGGAGACUUGGAAGCAUGGACGCUAGUCUGUGUGGAGUCAUCGUUGAAAUACCACCCUGCAUAUGGUGAGGCUCUAACCUAGACCCGUUAUCCGGGUUGGGGACAGCGUCAGGCGGGUAGUUUAACUGGGGCGGUUGCCUCCUAAAGAGUAACGGAGGCGCCCAAAGGUUCCCUCAGCCUGGUUGGCAAUCAGGCGUUGAGUGCAAUGGCAAAAGGGAGCUUGACUGCGAGACCUACAAGUCGAGCAGGAGCGAAAGCUGGGCAUAGUGAUCCGGCGGUUGCGUGUGGAAGCGCCGUCGCUCAACGGAUAAAAGGUACCCCGGGGAUAACAGGCUAAUCUUGCCCAAGCGUCCAUAGCGACGGCAAGGUUUGGCACCUCGAUGUCGGCUCAUCGCAUCCUGGGGCUGAAGCAGGUCCCAAGGGUUGGGCUGUUCGCCCAUUAAAGCGGUACGCGAGCUGGGUUCAGAACGUCGUGAGACAGUUCGGUCCCUAUCCUCUGCAGCCGGAGGUGAAUUGAGGAAAGCUGUCCCUAGUACGAGAGGACCGGGACGGACGCAGCUCUCGUGUGCCAGUUGUCCUGCCAAGGGCAUGGCUGGUUAGCGACCUGCGGAAAGGAUAACCGCUGAAAGCAUCUAAGCGGGAAGCCUCUUCCAAGAUGAAUUCACCCACAGGGUUAACCUGGUAAGGCCCGUGGUAGACCACCACGUUGAUAGGCCGGAAGUGUAAGCGUGGCAACACGUUCAGCUGACCGGUACUAAUCGGCCGAGGGCUUGAGUUC
RNAcentral lists this ribosomal RNA (1361 nucleotides) under metagenome. RNAcentral's name for it is "bacterial LSU rRNA". It matches the Rfam family "Bacterial large subunit ribosomal RNA", at positions 1584 to 2925 of the family's 2925-position model. The record is from RNAcentral.